RNAcentral lists this ribosomal RNA (484 nucleotides) under uncultured bacterium. RNAcentral's name for it is "partial 16S ribosomal RNA". It matches the Rfam family "Bacterial small subunit ribosomal RNA", at positions 30 to 507 of the family's 1533-position model. The record is from RNAcentral.
AUUGAACGCUGGCGGCAGGCUUUACACAUGCAAGUCGAGCGGUAGCAGGCCUUUGGGUCCUGGCUUCAGCGGCGGGCGGGAGUAUUAUGCCUAGGCAUCUGCCUGGUAGUGGGAGAUAACGUCGAAAACCGGGCGCUAAUACCGCAUACGUCGUGGGGGAGAACGGGGGGGCUCUUAGGACUUCUCGCUCUCGGACCUUUCUAGGUCGGAUUAGCUAGUUGGUGGGGUAAAGGCCUACCAAGGCGACGAUCCGUAGCUGGUCUGAGAGGAUGAUCAGUCACACUGGAACUGAGACACGGUCCAGACUCCUACGGGAGGCAGCAGUGGGGAAUAUUGGACAAUGGGCGCAAGCCUGAUCCAGCCAUGCCGCGUGUGUGAAGAAGGUCUUCGGAUUGUAAAGCGCUUUAAGUUGGGAGGAAGGGCAGUAAGUUAAUACCGUGCUGUUUUGACGGUACCAGCAGAAUAAGCACCGGCUAACUACGUG